GAUGAACGCUGGCGGCGUGCCUAAUACAUGCAAGUCGAGCGAACAGACGAGGAGCUUGCUCCUCUGACGUUAGCGGCGGACGGGUGAGUAACACGUGGAUAACCUACCUAUAAGACUGGGAUAACUUCGGGAAACCGGGGCUAAUACCGGAUAAUAUAUUGAACCGCAUGGUUCAAUAGUGAAAGACGGUUUUGCUGUCACUUAUAGAUGGAUCCGCGCCGCAUUAGCUAGUUGGUAAGGUAACGGCUUACCAAGGCAACGAUGCGUAGCCGACCUGAGAGGGUGAUCGGCCACACUGGAACUGAGACACGGUCCAGACUCCUACGGGAGGCAGCAGUAGGGAAUCUUCCGCAAUGGGCGAAAGCUUGACGGAGCAACGCCGCGUGAGUGAUGAAGGUCUUCGGAUCGUAAAACUCUGUUAUUAGGGAAGAACAAAUGUGUAAGUAACUAUGCACGUCCUGACGGUACCUAAUCAGAAAGCCACGGCUAACUACGUG
Molecule: ribosomal RNA, 497 nt
Filed under: uncultured bacterium
Lineage: Bacteria
Description: partial 16S ribosomal RNA
Rfam family: Bacterial small subunit ribosomal RNA
Source: RNAcentral